RNAcentral lists this ribosomal RNA (301 nucleotides) under uncultured bacterium. Its description in RNAcentral is "partial 16S ribosomal RNA". It matches the Rfam family "Bacterial small subunit ribosomal RNA", at positions 509 to 807 of the family's 1533-position model. The record is from RNAcentral.
CAGUCGCCGCGGGAAUACGUAGGUGGCAAGCGUUAUCCGGAAUUAUUGGGCGUAAAGCGCGCGUAGGCGGUUUUUUAAGUCUGAUGUGAAAGCCCACGGCUCAACCGUGGAGGGUCAUUGGAAACUGGAAAACUUGAGCGCAGAAGAGGAAAGUGGAAUUCCAUGUGUAGCGGUGAAAUGCGCAGAGAUAUGGAGGAACACCAGUGGCGAAGGCGACUUUCUGGUCUGUAACUGACGCUGAUGUGCGAAAGCGUGGGGAUCAAACAGGAUUAGAUACCCCGGUAGUCCCUGUCUCUUAUAC